RNAcentral lists this transfer RNA (72 nucleotides) under Nuclearia simplex. RNAcentral describes it as "tRNA-Val". It matches the Rfam family "tRNA". From Rfam's summary of the family: Transfer RNA (tRNA) molecules are approximately 80 nucleotides in length. The record is from RNAcentral. Lineage: Eukaryota; Rotosphaerida; Nucleariidae.
AGGAAAUUAACUCAGUGGUAGAGUAUCUCUCUUACAAAGAGUAAGUCAUUGGUUCAAAUCCAAUAUUUCCUA